Molecule: ribosomal RNA, 497 nt
Filed under: uncultured bacterium
Lineage: Bacteria
Description: partial 16S ribosomal RNA
Rfam family: Bacterial small subunit ribosomal RNA
Source: RNAcentral
GAUGAACGCUGGCGGCGUGCCUAAUACAUGCCAGUCGAGCGAACAGAUAAGGAGCUUGCUCCUUUGACGUUAGCGGCGGACGGGUGAGUAACACGUGGGUAACCUACCUAUAAGACUGGGAUAACUUCGGGAAACCGGAGCUAAUACCGGAUAAUAUUUCGAACCGCAUGGUUCGAUAGUGAAAGAUGGUUUUGCUAUCACUUAUAGAUGGACCCGCGCCGUAUUAGCUAGUUGGUAAGGUAACGGCUUACCAAGGCGACGAUACGUAGCCGACCUGAGAGGGUGAUCGGCCACACUGGAACUGAGACACGGUCCAGACUCCUACGGGGGGCAGCAGUAGGGAAUCUUCCGCAAUGGGCGAAAGCCUGACGGAGCAACGCCGCGUGAGUGAUGAAGGUCUUCGGAUCGUAAAACUCUGUUAUUAGGGAAGAACAUACGUGUAAGUAACUGUGCACGUCUUGACGGUACCUAAUCAGAAAGCCACGGCUAACUACGUG